GUGAGGAAUAGCAAGGAUACAUGCGUGUCCUUGGUUCUAAGAGUAAUAGAUGAGAGGGAGAGGGGGAGGGGAAGGGGGAAAUGGAAGGGAGGGAGGAGAAGGAGGGAGAGAGACAGACAAAUAAACAAAGACAGACACAGAAACAGAGACAGAGACAGACAGACAGAGAGGGAGGGAAGGACAGAGACAGAGACACAGAGAGACACAGAGAGAGACAGAGACUAAGAAGGAAAUAGAGACAGGCAGAGAGAGAGACAGACAGACAGACAGACUGGGAGAGAAAGAGGGAGGGAGAGAAAGAGGGAGGGAGAGAGGAAAAAAGAGACAGAGAGACUGAGAGAGACUGACAGAGAGAGAGAGGAGAGACCGUGACAUGAUCAGCCUUGUGUGCAAUCUUAAAAUUCAUUUAACAACUGAGUAGAGGAUUGAUUGGAGUGGGAAGAGAUUUGCGGCAGGCUAUGGCAGGCAGCCCUCCAGAAGGCAAAUGGGAUCCUUGGCUGUGAGGUACUGAGGUCUCAGGGUCAGAGGAAGGGGUAUAUAUGAAAAAUAGCCAGCAGAACUUGACGACAGAUUGGAUAGGGAAGGUGAAAUGAAAGGGCUGGACCAAUCUCCUCCGAGCUAAGACAAGGAUGUUGUCAGUGUCCGAGAAGCGGAGGGUGGAAAGUUUCAAGAAGGAAGCGGGGAUCCACCACAGCCGCCAAGACUGUCAAACGUCUGGGAGAAUCAGGACUAAG
Molecule: long non-coding RNA, 734 nt
Organism: Antechinus flavipes (yellow-footed antechinus)
Lineage: Eukaryota; Metazoa; Chordata; Mammalia; Dasyuromorphia; Dasyuridae
Exons: 2
Source: RefSeq, a predicted model, not a curated record